GGAGGUCUGCCGUUUGUGUAGUUUUGUUGUUUCUUAUUUACUUAGUUGAGUUGUUGAUGAACGUCUGAGGCUCGGCAGCCCAAUGGUGUAGUGCCUCUUUAAGAGAACGGUGUGCUGUGGGUCCAUGUGACCGGUGUUCGCCCAAUAAGAAGGUGGCGCAAGAGUUGUAUUAUUGCCACAUAACUUUGACCCGGUGUGCAGCCACUUGAUUUAUUACCUGUUUUCCCUUUGUUAAAGAAUAAACAAACAAAAGUGGAAUACCGAAUAAUAUUCUUUGUACACCGGGUUACCCCUUCCGUGGGGAGAAAACGGAACACUGUGUAUUCGCGCUUCCUAAACAACUGCGUGAUGCAUUACCGCCACCGCGUGGUCGAAAACGGCAUUUCGCUGUUUCCAGCCGUAGCAGCCAUGGAAUGAGCCAGGGUCUUUUGAACAAGGGUGCUUUUUCAUUAAGGCCUCUGCAACUAUGCAGAAAUGUGCAUCCUCCGGGUAGGCCUUAUAUCGGAAAAUUGAGGAAUUGGAAAUUCCUCUGGCCACUGCUUGGUUCGAGAUGACAGAGACUCGGGGGAUGAAAGCAGUAUAGUAUCGUUUGAUGCCAGUGAAACACAGUCAUCCGACUCGGAUGAAACAGAAGCAGAGGACGCAGCAGUACUGGUCAACGUUGUUUGCUGGAUGACCUGCAUUUUCCCCAAAUUCUGAAGUUCAGCAGUAGAGUUCAGAUUGAAAAAAUCAUUGCCAAAAUCUUGGUAAGGAAAAUGUCAUUGCUACUCCCAUGGUCCCUGCACAUCGGAGAGAGGAGUUCAGCCGGUUCAUCACAGGUGAAAUACCACCAUUUAUAAGAUCGUUUAUGGCAUCGUACAUCGAUCCACCUGACAGAACAGAACAGAGACAAAACAUCGAAGAAUGUCAUAACCAAAUCCUAAACGAGGACGUCUACUACGACCACCAACGAAGGCUCUGAUACCAUAUGGACGAGUGGUGGCAGUAGCUCAGGAGGUAGAGCGGGUUGGCUGGUAACCGGAAGGUUCCCCGGCUCCUCCUAGAGGGUCGAGGUGUCCCUGAGUAGGACACCACACUCUGACUACACUGACCUGGCGUGGUUGACCCCACCAUUGGUAUGUGGACGAGUGAAUGAAUGGUUGUAAGUCGCUUUGGAGAAAAGCAUUUGCAAAAUCCCCUAAUUAAUGGACUAAUGGAGCCGGAGAUGAGGCUGCUGGCUUCCUUCUAUGCAACGAUAUAUCAUAAGAAGUAUAACAUCUAACUGUCACUUUUGCAGUUUUUCUGAAAUUUUCUCAGGCUCAACUAUGAACACUUUAACAUUAUUAUUUCUUUCUACAAUUAAGAUGACAGUAUAUUUGUAAUGGGAAAAAUCUGUUUUCACAUUCUGUGUCUCUGAAUUUGUUGUGUUCAAUUUGUUGUGUUCAAUGAACCCCUUCGGGGGAAGUGUUCAAAGGCUGUUUUCCUGACCCCCCCGGGGGAAGAAGGGACAGGCCAAGGAUCCAGGGAUUCCACCAAGAUAUUCAAAACACACAUGUACAUACAUGUACACAUAUGUAAAUAUUUGUCUAAAAUGUAAAUAUCAUGGUUGUCCAACUUUUGAAACAUAUGGGUAGUUUUCUACUUAGUUUGGAUGCUCUUAUUCAGUUUACCCUUUGGUUUGAUGUUUUAUGAUUUCUCUAUUCAUUGAUACCAUUGUUGAUAUUUUGAACAGGCUUCUAGCCUCCAUUAACCUGAAAAUGCCAGUCAACUAGCUAUGCUAUGGUGCUUACCACUAGCUUGGUAAGCAACCCACUCGUUUCAUGUUCCAUUUCCUUUUAAUGCAACUUUUUUUGUUGAAUAAUCCUUUCUUUAACAGUACAACAACAAUGAAUAAAUACACUGAUUUUUACCUUGAAACCACA
Molecule: long non-coding RNA, 1901 nt
Organism: Gadus morhua (Atlantic cod)
Lineage: Eukaryota; Metazoa; Chordata; Actinopteri; Gadiformes; Gadidae
Exons: 5
Source: RefSeq, a predicted model, not a curated record